GGGGCUACAGCUCAGCUGGGAGAGCGCCUGCCUUGCACGCAGGAGGUCAGCGGUUCGAUCCCGCUUAGCUCCACCA
Molecule: transfer RNA, 76 nt
Filed under: Morganella morganii
Lineage: Bacteria; Pseudomonadati; Pseudomonadota; Gammaproteobacteria; Enterobacterales; Morganellaceae
Description: tRNA-Ala
Rfam family: tRNA
About the family: Transfer RNA (tRNA) molecules are approximately 80 nucleotides in length. Their secondary structure includes four short double-helical elements and three loops (D, anti-codon, and T loops).
Source: RNAcentral